CAACCAUCAAGCACUGCUUGGUAUUGGAUGUCACAUUUGUGCAUUUCAAAAGUAUUGGCAGUAGCAUUCAGCUUCUAGUGUGGUAAAUUUCUUGCUUUGGAGUUUGAGUGUCUUGAUUGCUGGAACCCUUUAUCAAAA
RNAcentral lists this unclassified non-coding RNA (138 nucleotides) under uncultured Helotiales. RNAcentral describes it as "sequence contains ITS2". Lineage: Eukaryota; Fungi; Ascomycota; Leotiomycetes; Helotiales. The record is from RNAcentral.